Molecule: ribosomal RNA, 1446 nt
Filed under: metagenome
Description: bacterial SSU rRNA
Rfam family: Bacterial small subunit ribosomal RNA
Source: RNAcentral
GCUGGCGGUAUGCUUAACACAUGCGAGUCGAACGGUAACAGGCCUUCGGGCGCUGACGAGUGGCGGACGGGUGAGUAACGCGUAGGAAUCUGCCUUAUAGUGGGGGACAACGUGGGGAAACCCACGCUAAUACCGCAUACGCCCUACGGGGGAAAGCGGGGGAUCGUAAGACCUCGCGCUAUGAGAUGAGCCUGCGUUAGAUUAGCUAGUUGGUAGGGUAAGGCCUACCAAGGCGACGAUCUAUAGCUGGUCUGAGAGGACGAUCAGCCACACUGGGACUGAGACACGGCCCAGACUCCUACGGGAGGCAGCAGUGGGAAUAUUGGACAAUGGGCGCAAGCCUGAUCCAGCAAUACCGCGUGUGUGAAGAAGGCCUUAGGGUUGUAAAGCACUUUCAAUGGGGAGGAAAACCUGCCGGUCAAUACCCGGUAGCUUGACAUUACCUAUAGAAGAAGCACCGGCUAACUCCGUGCCAGCAGCCGCGGUAAUACGGAGGGUGCGAGCGUUAAUCGGAAUUACUGGGCGUAAAGCGUGCGUAGGCGGCUCGUUAAGUCAGAUGUGAAAGCCCUGGGCUCAACCUGGGAACUGCAUUUGAAACUGGCGAGCUAGAGUUGAGUAGAGGGGAGUGGAAUUUCAGGUGUAGCGGUGAAAUGCGUAGAUAUCUGAAGGAACACCAGUGGCGAAGGCGACUCCCUGGACUCAAACUGACGCUGAGGUACGAAAGCGUGGGUAGCAAACAGGAUUAGAUACCCUGGUAGUCCACGCUGUAAACGAUGUCAACUAGCCGUUGGUCCUAUUUACAGGAUUAGUGGCGCAGCUAACGCAUUAAGUUGACCGCCUGGGGAGUACGGCCGCAAGGUUAAAACUCAAAUGAAUUGACGGGGGACCGCACAAGCGGUGGAGCAUGUGGUUUAAUUCGAUGCAACGCGAAGAACCUUACCAGGGUUUGACAUGCAUUGUGUCGGGGAUGAAAGUCCCCUAGCCGUAGCAAUUCGGCGCUUUGCACAGGUGCUGCAUGGCUGUCGUCAGCUCGUGUCGUGAGAUGUUGGGUUAAGUCCCGCAACGAGCGCAACCCCUGUGUCCUGUUGCCACCCCUUUAUUGGGAGCACUCUGGACAGACUGCCCUGUGAAACGGGGAGGAAGGUGGGGAUGACGUCAAGUCAGCAUGGCCCUUACACCCUGGGCUGCACACGUACUACAAUGCUCAGUACAGAACGAGCCGAAGCCGCGAGGCGGAGGAAAUCCCAAAAACUGAGCCCAAUUCGGAUUGCAGGCUGCAACUCGCCUGCAUGAAGCUGGAAUCGCUAGUAAUGCCGUAUCAGCUACGACGGCGUGAAUACGUUCCCGGGCCUUGUACACACCGCCCGUCACAUCAUGGAAGUCACUUGUUCCCGAAGUGCGUGCGCCAACCGCAAGGAGGCAGCGCCCUAAGGAAUGAGUGGUAAC